RNAcentral lists this ribosomal RNA (716 nucleotides) under uncultured Actinomycetes bacterium. RNAcentral's name for it is "bacterial SSU rRNA". It matches the Rfam family "Bacterial small subunit ribosomal RNA", at positions 104 to 837 of the family's 1533-position model. The record is from RNAcentral. Lineage: Bacteria; Bacillati; Actinomycetota; Actinomycetes.
GGGUGAGGAACACGUGAGGAACCUGCCCCGAACUUUGGGAUAACAGUUGGAAACGACUGCUAAUACCGAAUGCCGUUACGAAGUGGCAUCACUUUGUAACGAAAGAAUUUCGGUUCGGGAGGGCCUCGCGGCCUAUCAGCUAGUUGGUGGGGUAAUGGCCUACCAAGGCAUCGACGGGUAGCUGGUCUGAGAGGAUGAUCAGCCACACUGGGACUGAGACACGGCCCAGACUCCUACGGGAGGCAGCAGUGGGGAAUCUUGUGCAAUGGGCGAAAGCCUGACACAGCCACGCCGCGUGCGGGAAGAAGGCCUUCGGGUUGUAAACCGCUUUCAGCAGGAACGGAAAUGACGGUACCUGCAGAAGAAGAUGCGGCCAACUACGUGCCAGCAGCCGCGGUGAUACGUAGGCAUCAAGCGUUGUCCGGAUUUAUUGGGCGUAAAGAGCUCGUAGGCGGUUCAGCAAGUCGGGUGUGAAAACUCUGGGCUUAACCCAGAGCCUGCACUCGAAACUGCUGUGACUAGAGUUCGGUAGGGGAGCAGGGAAUUCCUAGUGUAGCGGUGAAANUGCGCAGAUAUUAGGAGGAACACCAAUGGCGAAGGCACUGCUCUGGGCCGAUACUGACGCUGAGGAGCGAGAGCGUGGGUAGCAAACAGGAUUAGAUACCCUGGUAGUCCACGCCGUAAACGAUGGGCACUAGGUGUGGGUCUCUAACCAA